GGAGAUGGGAAGGAGCUUAGAGUGAGGCAAGGGCAGCAAAAGCUCUCCUGCCAACAUGCCCCUUCACCACUUUGAAUGCAAUGGCAAAACGCUUUCGCAUUCAGUCCAGAUUAGCCGCUCGUUCUCUAGGUGCUUUCAAGGGAAUGACUCAUCACAGUUCUUGGGGCACAGAGCUUCAGCAUGCAAGGGUUGCUUUGUGACUUAAGCGUCUGUCCUGAGCAAGUGAAGGUGAAUUCCACCAAAAUCAGUGGAAAGAAAGACAAAAAGCUCUUUUUACCUGACUUUAAAAAGAAAAAAUCACAGAUCUUUAUUUCCCAAAUGCUAAGCUUUCUUUUGGGAGAUCUUAAUAUUUUGGGGAUCACAGAGGGGAGCGUGUAAACAGAACGUGAACUUAGCCCUUUCACUGGACUCAGCAACUUUCCUGACUCCCUUUUUCUCCAUAAGGAAACCGAGGAAUCCCCCACAGAUGAAGGGGCACAGCUUGAUCUGGUCCAGCUUGGUCUAGAGACUCUGUUUCAGUAUUUAUUCCACCUUCCCUGAUUCCCUGCCAUUGAUUCAGCACCUUUUGGCUUAAACAUUUACUUAUCUUUGUAUCCCAUGUCUAGAGUAUAUGUGGUCUUACGUUAAAUUAGCGUUCAGCAUUUGCUAGACAGAAUAUAAGUUUAUAAAAUUUAAUCAACAAGCAGAAUAUAUAUCAACCAGUUUUAGCAUUAGUCGUAUGGUAUUAAAAAUGUAUGGGACUUCCCUGGUGGCUCAGCGGUUAAGGAUCCAGUCUUGUCACUGCUAUGGCUCGGGUUGCCACUGGGUGCAGGUUUGAUUCCCUGGCCCAGGAACCUCCACAUGCCAUGGGCGUGGCCAAAAAACCCAGUACGUAUAUAUGCACAAAAAUACUUAUGUACACUCAUAUCACUACCGGUGGAUGCCAGUAGGUGGCGCUCUGUUUCACCCGUGGGUGGCUUAGCCUGGAAUUGGCUUGUAGAAUGUGGCAGGAAAGUGAUGGAAUGACUAGUGCGUCUUUCUUGGGCCUCGAGCAGAUGAAAAAAACCUUCAUUCCCAACAGUUUCCAUUCUCCAUGUCACCUCCGUAUUUAAUUUACUUCACUUACAUGACUACUUGAAGUUUUCCCAGGUGAGUUGCUCCUAUUCAUUAUAACCUGGAGGAGUGGGAUUAGUAAACGAGUGGCUUAUACUUUCUAAAGGGAGGCCAGUGGAUGGUGACAUGGGAAGAACUGAUCUGCCAGCAGCUUGCGUGAUGGGGUGAACUGAGGGCACCUGAGCCAUCUCAGGGGCCCAGGUUGUCAUAACCUAGAGGUUACCCAGGCCAUGACCUUGCAUUUAGAGAGUCAGAAACUGAACCCCGAAUGUUAGGCGACUGUUUCAAGUUCUUACCAAAAGAGGGUGUUUCCGCAGCACAAUGAAAAGGUUUCGCUCAAGUGGCCCGUCCAGUGUUUGGAAUGAAUGCGUAUUUCUUGUGUGAUUGGAUAUUUCAGUGGCUGGAGAGCUGGCAUUAUGCUGUAAGUUCAGUUAGUCGGUUUUCUGCGUCUCCUGAGUAAGGGCUAUGUUAGUCGAGCAUUUUUGCCUUCAUCCCAAUAAACACCUUUCCUCCUCCUCUUCUUCUUCUUCUGGGUCUCCAGCCACGGAGGUCAGGACUGCUAUUCUCUGUGUUACUUGGUUUUGCUUUCCUUCCAAUUCAUUGAUCUGUAUGGUCUCUACGCGUGAGUGAGUGUGGCGCGUGCUUUAGUUGUGAGCUCUCAGACGUCAGUGCCUUUUUAGGGAGCAAGAUUUACCUUCUGCACUUGCAUGCGCUAUUGUUACAGGCUGCUGGUGUUGGGAUGUUCUUCUAGUUUAAAUGUGGGUAAGUAUUUUAAAAGGAUGUCAGUGGCUUGCCUACAUUCUCAUUCAGCCUGAAGGCCUUCUUGUUGUUACAAAGGAAACAUUGCAAGAUCCAAUUUAAAAAACUCAAGACGUUGGGCUUUUCUUGUGGUGCAGUGGGUUAAGGAUCUGGUGUUGUCACUGCCGAGGCCCAGGUUCCAUCCCUGGCCCAGGAACUUCCACAUGCUGUGGGUGUGGCCAAAAAGACCCUGCCAAAACAAAGCCCCCCAAAUUCCAAGAAAUGGCGUAUAAUAGAAUAAAUGGCUUUCUCCCAAACCCCUUGUACCACCACAGAGCUCCUCUAAUCUGAUGCUGGAAUGUCUCAGAACCACCUUUGAUUAGCUUGCUUUUAUUUUGCUUUUUUUGUUAAUUAAUUGCUCCCAGAUUAGCUGCAUAGGAACUUGGGUGUUGCUUUGAUGCCUACCGAGAUCUCUCUUCAGUUCUGGAAGCUAUUUUAUUUUGAAAGUCUUUACCUGUCAGUCUCAGCAGCUUCUGUCUGUUCAGGACAAACACACACCUCUCCGGGACCUCUCACAGCGUUGGUGCUUCAGCUCCAUGCGGGGUAUGUAAUGGGCGAGGGGAGUCACAACUUGGGGUCCCCGUAGGCAGGUUUCCCGUCUUUCCAGACAUCUGCCUGCCUGUACAUGUAUUUUUAUUGACAUACACAGUUAGGGAAAUUAAAUAAAGCAGCAUUUUAAAAACUAUUUCAAGACCUAGAGAAAUACCUAAUUGUUUCUCUUUGUGUACAUCCAGAGUGAUGUUCCUGCAGCAAAAGACUUGGUUUCACAUUGGCUUCCUCCCCUCCCUUGAAAUUAAUCAAGUGCGGAUGCUGCGUUAACUUUCUCAGCUGGGAACCACCAGCCCACAGGACUCCAGGCUCAUGUGAUGUGCCGAGAGUUAAACACAGGGACCCCCGAGUAUGGAGGUGACAAGAAUAUUCAUAAAGUCAGGCUACGCGCGUCCCUGGAAGGGAAUACGGCAGCAGGCGGUGUUUCUCUGGUGCCCAUAAAACCAGAUCCACAUGGCAGCUUGAUCUGUGGGUGAUGGGGAUUUUGCUGAUGAUUUUAAAAAUCAGGGCUAGUUUACUCUUAUUGUUUUUUGGGUAUUUUAGAAUAUACUUUUGCAUGUGGUUUUAAACUGUUGUGUCUCUAGCAGGAAUUAGAUUGAGUGCCAUCAUUUCUCUGGAGGUCACUUAGCCCCCACUUAACCAGCCCUCUCUGCUGUCACUUUGCGCAUUCAUGGUGACUUUUGGCAUGAGUUCAUUCUUACUUUUCCCGUGGGGCCUGGCGUGGGGUGGGGUCUCCUUGCAGCAAGGUAACGUGGGAAUGCAUAUGGCACAGGUGAGGUGUCCAUCAGUAACCUGAGGAAGUGGAAAGCCACCCACAGAUUCUCAAGGUAGCCUGUGAAAUCUUCUGUUUGUCUUUAAGAAGCUGAAUCAGGACAGAAGCCAAGAGUCACCGACAUCAUUGUCCUGCUUUUCAGUAGGUUCCGAGUUAGCAGCUUGUGUACCUGCAUCUAAAUGAGCGUUGUUAGCGUAUAAUAAGUCCCAUUCAUUCUCAUGCUUGAACUGAUGGCGGGUGACCCUACCAGAUAGAUUAAGUGCUCCUUGGCAGGCUCUGCUUCCCAGAGAGUCCACGUGGCUUUCCGUUGAAAUCGUCCUGAAAGGGGCACCCGCCUUUAGAGCAGCCCUGUAUCGGGAGCGUCGUCACGUGAGUGUCCUUUGGUGUGUUUUCAGAGUUGCAGGGUGACUCUGGGAGGGCAGAGAAGAAGCACUUGUUGGGUGUGAGGCCGUGGACCGAGUGCUUUUUGCGUGUCCUCACACGUCCUCUGCGUCCACAGGUAAAGUAGGGUUUGAAUUCUCAGACCCCAUUACAGGCGCGGGCAGCGGCAGCCGUGCGUGAGCGGCCUCGCGCCUCUUGCUAGAAAGCGGCAGAGCUGAGCUGCUGACCCUGCCCAGGGCAGCUCACUGCUCCUGGAAGCGCGCCAGGGCUCCUGCGGUUCCACCCCUGGCCCCAGGGCUGAGCUUGGUUUCCUGGCUUUUCUCCUCUGGUUCUAGGGUGGUAGGACUGCCCGGGAGCUGGCCCGCCCCUCGGUCAUUCGGGAACCUCGGUGGUCAGGAAUCGGAUCGGGACGUGUUGUGAGGCUUGGUCCCAUCCUGCCCUUGGACGUGUUGUGACCUGAGGCCUGGAAACCUCGCAGACUGGAGGCUGUGGGGGGGCUGCCCUUUCUGCCGGCAGUGGGGCGGUUUGCGCUCUGUCGUUGGCGCGGUGGCUUUCAGUGCCCUCCUUCCAGCCCGUCGCUGUCCUUUCCUCCUGAGAUACCAGUGCUUCAGGUGCCCAGAUUUCUGCACACCCGCUGGCCGCUAGAGCCAACUCACGCAGGUAGACACGCAGAGGUUGCCUGUUUCUUGUAUAGAACACCAGCCCGAAUAACUCCGGUUUUGCAGUUGGUCAGAGAAAAAGCUGGUGUGGCGUUUGCAGAUUUGUCCAGUGACCGGCGACAACUUCGCUUCUCAAGAACCAAAGAAUAGGGACUUUCCACUGUGGCCCAGUGGGUUAAGAACCUGACCUAGUGUCUGUGAAGAUGCAGGUUUGAUCCCUGGCCUUGCUUAGUGGGUUAAGGAUCUGGCCUUUCCAUGAGCUGUGGUGUAGGUUGCAGACGCGGCUCGGAUCUGGGGUUGCUGUAGCUGUGGUGUAGACCUUGACUGCAGCUCUGAUUCGACCCCUAGCCUGGGAACUUCCAUAUGCAGUGGGUGCAGCCCUUAAAAAACAAAAAGAAAAAAAA
This 4655-nucleotide long non-coding RNA is filed under the name Sus scrofa (pig). Its description in RNAcentral is "lncRNA (ENSSSCG00025042153.1, ENSSSCG00045009458.1, ENSSSCG00055021210.1)". The record is from RNAcentral. Lineage: Eukaryota; Metazoa; Chordata; Mammalia; Artiodactyla; Suidae.